This is a long non-coding RNA of Helianthus annuus (common sunflower), 386 nucleotides long. RefSeq lists it as uncharacterized. Lineage: Eukaryota; Viridiplantae; Streptophyta; Magnoliopsida; Asterales; Asteraceae. The record is from RefSeq and is a predicted model, not a curated record. The transcript is spliced from 3 exons.
AGUGCAGGUGUGUAUGUGUCGAGAUUGAGAGAAGUCUCUAUUUCACAAGAACACAAAAAUUCUGCAAAUCAUAAGGAGAACUAGGAUGAAAUCCUUGCAUGUUCACGAAAUUCUCGUCAUCUAGUCACUACAAACCUAAGGGAACUUAAGCGAAGCUUCGGGAAGCCAAGCCGGGAAGGAAGCUCGUCAAAAAAGGGAACCUCUAAUGUAAAUUAGAAAUGAGUCACCGGAUGGAAGAUCAAGCUACGUGAAGAACCGAACACCCCGGAAAGCUUACUAAUUCCCGCCAUUUGUUUAUGUUUCCUUGAGAUUUUAAAAUGAUGACUUGAAUUUUGUAAUUCAAACUAUUACUAUUACGGCACAUUAUAACAAAAUUGUUUAGUGAA